UCCGCUUUACAGCGGCAGUCUCGCUAGAGUACUGGCUUGCGCCGAGCAACUAACGACAGGGGUUGCGCUCGUUAAGGGACUUAACCCGACACUUCACAGCACGAGCUGACGACAGCCAUGCAGCACCUGUGACCGUUCCACCCUUGCGGGUGUCAUUACCGUUUCCGGUAACUAAUCCGGCCAUGUCAAGCCCAGGUAAGGUUCUUCGCGUUGCAUCGAAUUAAGCAACAUGCUCCACCGCUUGUGUGAGCCCCCGUCAAUUCCUUUGAGUUUUAGCCUUGCGACCGUACUCCCCAGGCGGCGCACUUAUCGUUUUUACUCCGACCGAUCCGGCGUCAGAGCCGCACCGAUCUAGUGCGCAUCGUUUACGGCGUGGACUAC
RNAcentral lists this unclassified non-coding RNA (381 nucleotides) under uncultured Phycisphaeraceae bacterium. Its description in RNAcentral is "contains 16S-23S intergenic spacer region". Lineage: Bacteria; Pseudomonadati; Planctomycetota; Phycisphaerae; Phycisphaerales; Phycisphaeraceae. The record is from RNAcentral.